This 67-nucleotide transfer RNA is filed under the name Marmota monax (woodchuck). Its description in RNAcentral is "tRNA.Ala". Lineage: Eukaryota; Metazoa; Chordata; Mammalia; Rodentia; Sciuridae. The record is from RNAcentral.
GGUUAUAGCUCAAUGGUACAGCACUUGCCUAGCAUGUGUGAGGCACUGGGUUCGAUCCUCAGCACCA